Lytechinus pictus (painted urchin) is the source of this 527-nucleotide long non-coding RNA. RefSeq lists it as uncharacterized. The record is from RefSeq and is a predicted model, not a curated record. The transcript is spliced from 3 exons. Lineage: Eukaryota; Metazoa; Echinodermata; Echinoidea; Temnopleuroida; Toxopneustidae.
GCUGACAAUUUAGUCAGCGCUGACAAAAAUUCGUUUCAUCAAACUCUCGGAGCUCCUCUGACUAUUGUCAGAGAAUUUUUAUUUUACAAAUCGUCUUGAACGAGGUUCGCUGACUAAUUAGGCCACGCCCACUCCCAAAGUCGUGAAAAAGAUGUAAAAUUGAUUGAUGUUUUCGCCACGACGAUUCGAAAUGAAACGAAGAAAUGAGAAGAAGCGAAGGUCCUCGUAGAGGUGAAUGAGGAUUUUACCACUAUGGACAUUUGAACAGUAUGCAGAAGAAGACGGAUCUGGAACUAGAAAGCAAGGCUCUGACUGGUCUACUACAGCAAGGAAUGUGCCAGCGGCCAAUUUGAUGAACAUGUGACAGAAGAUUUGGCAAUGGGUGAAGAAAUACUGAGAUUGAAAUGCAACCACAGGUGGAGGCUUCAACCAAACUUUUCAGACAGACAUGAGAUACAAAGUUACACAAGUAUAAAUGGUUGAAGGUUUAGGAGAGCCAGACAAGAAGGCAGGAAAUGUGAUGUCAC